Molecule: ribosomal RNA, 440 nt
Filed under: uncultured bacterium
Lineage: Bacteria
Description: partial 16S ribosomal RNA
Rfam family: Bacterial small subunit ribosomal RNA
Source: RNAcentral
CCUACGGGAGGCGGCAGUGGGGAAUAGUGCACAAUGGGGGAAACCCUGAUGCAGCGACGCCGCGGGAGUGAAGAAGGAAUUCGGUAUGUAAAGCUCUAUCAGCAGGGAAGAAAAUGACGGUACCUGAGUAAGAAGCCCCGGCUAACUACGUGCCAGCAGCCGCGGUAAUACGUAGGGGGCAAGCGUUAUCCGGAUUUACUGGGUGUAAAGGGAGCGUAGACGGCAGUGCAAGUCUGGAGUGAAAGGCGGGGGCUCAACCCCCGGACUGCUCUGGAAACUGUACGGCUGGAGUGCAGGAGAGGUAAGUGGAAUUCCUAGUGUAGCGGUGAAAUGCGUAGAUAUUAGGAGGAACACCAGUGGCGAAGGCGGCUUACUGGACUGUAACUGACGUUGAGGCUCGAAAGCGUGGGGAGCAAACAGGAUUAGAUACCCGUGUAGUC